Molecule: long non-coding RNA, 1588 nt
Organism: Panthera uncia (snow leopard)
Lineage: Eukaryota; Metazoa; Chordata; Mammalia; Carnivora; Felidae
Exons: 4
Source: RefSeq, a predicted model, not a curated record
CAGGCAGAGGUCACAGACCACUAGCACCUGCAGCCACCCAGCAGGUAACACAAAUGGCCUGGGGACUGAGGUCAUAAAAGGCAGCUGACACCGGUCAGCCUUAAAGAGCAAAGGGUGGUGGCAGGUGGGGACUGGAGACGACAAGUCCUCUCUGACAAGGGGCUGCAGCUACUCACCUCGGGCUGGUUACUGCUGUGGAAGAAGAGCACCUUCUCGGGGGACUGGCACCGAGAUGAUAUCAAUGAACAGGAAAGGCCCAGUCCUAGUCCUCCGGGGGCCCACUGUUUAAGAUGGAGGCAGACAGGAGAAUGGGAGACUGCACAUCAGCGGGCGAGCACUUGGACAGCGGGAGUGGACGUGGAGAGGGCACGGAGGAGGCCAAGCUUGAAAGGCAGAGGGGAGGAGUCCAGGACCACAUUCUGGAAGAAAUGAGGUCUAAGCUGAGAUCUGAAGGUUGAGUUGGUACUGGACCAGGUAAAGGGAAGAAAACAGAGUGUGAGCCCAAUGCUAUGCACAGCUACUGGUGGAAUUUGGGGCGUCAAAUAUGCACCAGUCAUGCCGCCCUGAGAGUCGGAGAGUGGGAACCUCAUCUUCGGAGAUGAUAUGACAUAUUCAGGCGAUGUCCGACCCCUCUGGCCAAGGUGAGGGUGAAUAAACAGGCAUCCCUGAUGAUGCAAGCUAACAUCACCUGAUACAAUGGAAUACAGCCUCUAACUUCUUCCUCUUCUUGGGUUGCCAAAGCACAAAGUCAUCUUGCAUUGAUUUAAAGAGAGAAAGGACCCACACAGACUUCUCCGUCUUGUUUUUGAGUCAGGAGCUCUGGGGAGUCAGAGAGGGGUGGAGGCUGAUGGAGGGAAGGAGGGGUCUUUAGGGGACCAGGGAGUUGGGGAAGCUGGGAAUUCUGUAUAGUCCAAGUUGACUAUGCCAGAUGUAGCUCAAUUUUUUUUUUUUUUUCUUUUAAGAGACUGUUAUGGGUUUCCUUUCCAAAGUGGAACUGCAGGGAUGGAAAAAUGAGUUUCAGUUGCUAUGGAAAUAGGAGUUGGCUGGAGCCUGCGGGAGCAGCAGCUGGAGUAGAACAAGUGGCCAGGAACCUGGCCCUGUGACAGAGGGGCUUCCGGCUGGGGAUAAGACAACAACAGGCGUUAGCAGGGAGGAGGAGGAGGGAAGAAGAGAGAGGAGACAGAUUCUGCUGCCUAUGGAUUCUGCAGACACGUAGAGUGAUAAAGAAUGGUGUGUGCGUGUGCAUGUGUGUGUGUGUUGGGGGGGGGGUUGCAUGUACACCCCCCCAGGCCAAAAAAAAAAAAAAAAAAAAAAAAGAGAGAGAGAGAAGCAAAAUAAAUCACUGCCUGAGGAAGAACAGAGCUUCACUGGAGACUCUGAGGUCAAAAAAGCCCUAAGACAGUUGAGUGACAGAAGAGAAGAGGCUUGUUUCAAAGACUUCCAGGGGGUGAGCAAAUGCCUGAGCAGGGACUGGCCCUCGCACUCUGUGCUCCCUCACCUUUUGUCCUCACACAACUCUUCAAAUUGAAACUGAUGUGGGCCAGAAACACAGCCAACAAAAUCCCCACGGGGUUAGUGAGACUGUGGG